This 610-nucleotide ribosomal RNA is filed under the name Mesorhizobium mediterraneum. RNAcentral describes it as "bacterial SSU rRNA". It matches the Rfam family "Bacterial small subunit ribosomal RNA", at positions 28 to 688 of the family's 1533-position model. The record is from RNAcentral. Lineage: Bacteria; Pseudomonadati; Pseudomonadota; Alphaproteobacteria; Hyphomicrobiales; Phyllobacteriaceae.
GUCAGACGUUACCGCUAGCUCAAUCGUGCAAGUCGAGCGCCCCGCAAGGGGAGCGGCAGACGGGUGAGUAACGCGUGGGAAUCUACCCAUCUCUACGGAACAACUCCGGGAAACUGGAGCUAAUACCGUAUACGUCCUUCGGGAGAAAGAUUUAUCGGAGAUGGAUGAGCCCGCGUUGGAUUAGCUAGUUGGUGGGGUAAUGGCCUACCAAGGCGACGAUCCAUAGCUGGUCUGAGAGGAUGAUCAGCCACAUUGGGACUGAGACACGGCCCAAACUCCUACGGGAGGCAGCAGUGGGGAAUAUUGGACAAUGGGCGCAAGCCUGAUCCAGCCAUGCCGCGUGAGUGAUGAAGGCCCUAGGGUUGUAAAGCUCUUUCAACGGUGAAGAUAAUGACGGUAACCGUAGAAGAAGCCCCGGCUAACUUCGUGCCAGCAGCCGCGGUAAUACGAAGGGGGCUAGCGUUGUUCGGAAUUACUGGGCGUAAAGCGCACGUAGGCGGAUAUUUAAGUCAGGGGUGAAAUCCCGGGGCUCAACCCCGGAACUGCCUUUGAUACUGGGUAUCUCCAGUCCCAGAGAGGUCAGUUGAAUUCCGACUGUAGAAGUGAAAUU